GAGCGUUCGUCCAACUUCUCAUCCAAGUAAAUGGCAGCGGCGCAUCAUCCAUCCGCUGAAAUCCCAAGGGACUGGGAGGAUAGUUCACGAUGCAACAAGCGUUUGGGGAGGACAUUCAUUGAAACGCAAUGACUUUUAAAUUCUUGAGGGACUCUUGCUCCAGGGGAAAUCUCAGCAGUGAUGUCUCUGCUGUGCGUCAGAGGUGUUGCAAGGAUCGGGCCAAAACGCAGUGUGGUGGCGAGAUGAUAAGACCAAGUUGACGA
Long non-coding RNA from Oncorhynchus keta (chum salmon), 263 nucleotides. RefSeq lists it as uncharacterized. NCBI's taxonomy places the organism in Eukaryota, Metazoa, Chordata, Actinopteri, Salmoniformes, Salmonidae. The transcript has 3 exons. The record is from RefSeq and is a predicted model, not a curated record.